AGCGAACGCUGGCGGCAGGCCUAAUACAUGCAAGUCGAGCGGCCGUAGCAAUACGGCAGCGGCAGACGGGAGAGUAACACGUGGGAACGUACCUUUCGGUUCGGAACAACCCAGGGAAACUUGGGCUAAUACCGGAUACGUCCGUAAGGAGAAAGAUUUAUCGCCGAAAGAUCGGCCUGCGUCUGAUUAGCUUGUUGGUGAGGUAACGGCUCACCAAGGCGACGAUCAGUAGCUGGUCUGAGAGGAUGAUCAGCCUCACUGGGACUGAGACACGGCCCAGACUCCUACGGGAGGCAGCAGUAGGGAAUAUUGGACAAUGGGCGCAAGCCUGAUCCAGCCAUGCCGCGUGAGUGAUGAAGGCCCUAGGGUUGUAAAGCUCUUUCGGCGGGGAAGAUAAUGACGGUACCCGCAGAAGAAGCCCCGGCUAACUUCGCGCCAGCCGCCGCCGUAA
Molecule: ribosomal RNA, 451 nt
Filed under: uncultured bacterium
Lineage: Bacteria
Description: partial 16S ribosomal RNA
Rfam family: Bacterial small subunit ribosomal RNA
Source: RNAcentral